This 253-nucleotide ribosomal RNA is filed under the name uncultured bacterium. RNAcentral's name for it is "partial 16S ribosomal RNA". It matches the Rfam family "Bacterial small subunit ribosomal RNA", at positions 524 to 776 of the family's 1533-position model. The record is from RNAcentral.
UACGGAGGGAGCUAGCGUUGUUCGGAAUUACUGGGCGUAAAGCGCGCGUAGGCGGCUUUGUAAGUUAGAGGUGAAAGCCCGGAGCUCAACUCCGGAACUGCCUUUAAAACUGCAUCGCUUGAAUCCAGGAGAGGUGAGUGGAAUUCCGAGUGUAGAGGUGAAAUUCGUAGAUAUUCGGAAGAACACCAGUGGCGAAGGCGGCUCACUGGCUCGUUUCUGACGCUCAGGCGCGACAGCGUGGGGAUCAAACAGG